This 32-nucleotide non-coding RNA is filed under the name Geobacter sulfurreducens KN400. Lineage: Bacteria; Pseudomonadati; Thermodesulfobacteriota; Desulfuromonadia; Geobacterales; Geobacteraceae. The record is from RNAcentral.
UUGAUGCACGCGAGGGCGCCAGAGCCUUUGCG